This 363-nucleotide unclassified non-coding RNA is filed under the name Saccharomyces cerevisiae (brewer's yeast). Lineage: Eukaryota; Fungi; Ascomycota; Saccharomycetes; Saccharomycetales; Saccharomycetaceae. The record is from RNAcentral.
UAGGAAAGUCAUAAAUAUAUAAAUUAUAUUAUAUAAUUAAUAUAAUAAUAAAAUAAAUUAUAUAUUUUAUUUAUAAUAUUAUUUCUUUAUAAGAUAAAAUAUUAUCUGAUGAAUAAUUAGAUUGAAUAAUAUUUAUAAAGAAAUAUAUAUAUAUAUAAAAAGUCAUUAUAUAAAUUUAAUUAUAAUUUAAAUAAAUUUUAUAUAAAUUAAUAUAAUAUUAAUAAAGUAAUUAGUAUAAAUAAAUAAUAUGAAAAUAAAACUUAAUAAAUAUAUAAAUAUAGUCCAUAUAUAUAUAUUAAUAAAAAAAAGUAAUAUAUAUAUAUAUAUUGGAAUAGUUAUAUUAUUAUACAGAAAUAUGCUUAA